RNAcentral lists this ribosomal RNA (253 nucleotides) under uncultured bacterium. Its description in RNAcentral is "partial 16S ribosomal RNA". It matches the Rfam family "Bacterial small subunit ribosomal RNA", at positions 524 to 776 of the family's 1533-position model. The record is from RNAcentral.
UACGUAGGCAGCGAGCGUUGUUCGGAGUUACUGGGCGUAAAGGGUGUGUAGGCGGUUUUCUAAGUUUGGUGUGAAAUCUCCCGGCUCAACCGGGAGGGUGCGCCGAAAACUGGGAGACUAGAGUGCGGGAUGGGAGAGUAGAAUUCCUGGUGUAGCGGUGAAAUGCGUAGAUAUCAGGAGGAAUCCCGGGGGUGGAGACGGCUCUCUGGACCGCCACUGACGCUGAGACACGAAAGCGUGGGUAGCAAACAGG